CCUACGUGUGGCAGCAGUGGGGGAUAUUGGACAAUGGGGGGAACCCUGAUCCAGCGAUGCCGCGUGAGUGAAGAAGUACCUCGGUAUGUAAAGUUCUUUCAGCAGGGAAGAAGAAAUGAAGGUACCUGAGUAAGAAGCUCCGGCUAACUACGUGCCAGCAGCCGCGGUAACACGUAGGCGGCAAGCGUUAUCCGGAAGUACUGGGCGGAAAGCGAACGUAGGCGGUGAGGUAAGUCUGGAGUGAAAGGCUGGUGCCCAACCCGCGGACUGCACUGGAAACUAUGUGGCUGGAGUGCAGGAGAGGGGGGCAGAAUUCCUGGUGUAGCGGGGAAAUGCGUAGAGAUCAGGAGGAACACCAGUGGCGAAGGCGGCUCCCUGGACUAUGACUGACGUUGAGGCUCGAAAGCGUGGGGAGCAAACAGGAUUAGAUACCCGAGUAGUC
RNAcentral lists this ribosomal RNA (442 nucleotides) under uncultured bacterium. RNAcentral describes it as "partial 16S ribosomal RNA". It matches the Rfam family "Bacterial small subunit ribosomal RNA", at positions 338 to 795 of the family's 1533-position model. The record is from RNAcentral.